GGUUCCCGCGAAGGACUCUGAUCAAAACAACGCGCCUCCUGUCUGUCUCUCAGAGUCUCUCUCUCUUUCUUUCUGUGUGUGUGUUGGAGGGUUGUUUGGCGUUUGCGGUGUCCAUAGGCGAAAAUGGAGGCAGCGAUGGGGUUGAUGAGAAGAAUACCUCCGAAUCAAACAGAGACUGCGCUCUCUGCUCUGCUGAGUCUCAUGCCCGAACAUUCCUCAGAUCUACUCUCUCAAGUCGAUCAGCCUCUUCAGGUUUUAUGCGAUGUGGAUAGUGGAAAGGAGUUCAUCUUGUGUGAAUACAACAGAGAUGCUGACUCCUAUAGAUCGCCUUGGUCAAACAAAUACCAUCCAGCAUUGGAAGAUGGGCCUUGUCCUUCUCUGGAAUUGAGGAAACUUGAGAUUGAAGCAAAUGAAGUCUUUGCAGUUUAUCGUGACCAGUAUUAUGAAGGUGGCAUUUCAUCCGUAUACAUGUGGGAAGAUGAGAAUGAAGGUUUUGUAGCUUGCUUCUUGAUAAAGAAAGAUGGCUCAAAGUCAGGACAUGGAAGGAGAGGUUAUCUGCAGGAGGGAGCAUGGGAUGCUAUACACGUUAUUGAGGUGGGUCCAGAGGAGGAAGGAAUGGCUCAUUACUGUUUAACGAGCACUGUCAUGCUAUCAUUGACUACAAACAAUGAGUCAUCUGGCACAUUCAAUUUGUCAGGAUCAAUUAGAAGACAGGAAGCUGAAUUCUUCAUCUUCCUUUCAUGUUCUACAGAUGAAUACGGAUCUCUCAGUGGCAGAUGGUCAUCUGUGUAACAUGGGAAAGAUGAUAGAAGAAUUGGAGGGUAAACUGAGAAAUUCACUAGAUCAGGUGUACUUUGGGAAGACAAAAGAGAUGGUUUGCACAUUGCGCCCACCAGCUGAACUGGUGGAAAUGAGACUGCCUGACAGCUGAUGGAUUUGUAUUUUGGCCUCAUGUAGUGAAAGAUGUAUCUGUUGGCUUGUCUGUUGUUGUCUUCAUCAUUUUUGUGUGUAAGAUUAGUGAAGAUUAUUUCUUGGAUGCUUGCGUUGCAAUAUUUUAUGAUCAUAGUGUAAGAAAAGUAUACCAGUUUUGGAUUUUAAUGACUUUCAGAAUAUCCAGCUUCUCUUUA
RNA transcript from Camellia sinensis, 1127 nucleotides. It is a transcript of the gene named F-actin-capping protein subunit beta, with no coding region annotated. The record is from RefSeq and is a predicted model, not a curated record. Lineage: Eukaryota; Viridiplantae; Streptophyta; Magnoliopsida; Ericales; Theaceae.